RNAcentral lists this ribosomal RNA (486 nucleotides) under uncultured bacterium. Its description in RNAcentral is "partial 16S ribosomal RNA". It matches the Rfam family "Bacterial small subunit ribosomal RNA", at positions 30 to 507 of the family's 1533-position model. The record is from RNAcentral.
AUUGAACGCUGGCGGCAUGCCUUACACGUGCAAGUCGAACGGCAGCACGGGUGCUUGCACCUGGUGGCGAGUGGCGAACGGGUGAGUAAUACAUCGGAACAUGUCCUGUAGUGGGGGAUAGCCCGGCGAAAGCCGGAUUAAUACCGCAUACGAUCCACGGAUGAAAGCGGGGGACCUUCGGGCCUCGCGCUAUAGGGUUGGCCGAUGGCUGAUUAGCUAGUUGGUGGGGUAAAGGCCUACCAAGGCGACGAUCAGUAGCUGGUCUGAGAGGACGACCAGCCACACUGGGACUGAGACACGGCCCAGACUCCUACGGGAGGCAGCAGUGGGGAAUUUUGGACAAUGGGCGAAAGCCUGAUCCAGCAAUGCCGCGUGUGUGAAGAAGGCCUUCGGGUUGUAAAGCACUUUUGUCCGGAAAGAAAUCCUUGACUCUAAUACAGUCGGGGGAUGACGGUACCGGAAGAAUAAGCACCGGCUAACUACGUG